Molecule: long non-coding RNA, 708 nt
Organism: Solanum pennellii
Lineage: Eukaryota; Viridiplantae; Streptophyta; Magnoliopsida; Solanales; Solanaceae
Exons: 2
Source: RefSeq, a predicted model, not a curated record
UAGUAAUACAUUGUUUGUUACAUUUUUUUUGGUCAUGUAUAACUAAUGCAAGCAUUAGUUAUACACAAUAUUGUGUAUUAAGUUGUGUAUUACUAAUACCAAGAAAUUUUAGGUAUUAGUAAUACAUAGCAUUUUUACACUUGCAUUAGAUUAUGCAAUUACAAAAAUACCUUCAAAGCCCUUUAAAAAAACAUUUUCCAUAGUACUUGUUUCAUCUUCUCUGUACUUUGUCAAUGAAAAUUCAAGAGUAGGUUUUUCUUCCUUUUGCUCAAUCAACAUUGUUUGCUCAUCUUCAUAAGGUCAGCUGAUGUUGGUGAAUUUGUGCUGUUUUUCUGCGAUCUCGAUUGGUGAAGUUGAGAAAAUUUGGAACAUUGGUGAAUGGGUGGGGAAUUUGUGUGAAGUUUUGUAGAGGUUUUUGGGUGUGUGAAAAGUGAAAAAUCUUUGAAUUUUUAGUUUUUUUUUUUGUUGGAUUGGAGUUUUUAUUUGAAUGAUUUCUGGUUGGAGUAGAGAUGGAAGGAAGGGGAUAGGUUUAGAGAUGGAGCAGCAUCUGCACUUAAGGCUCCACAAUUUAAGGGGGGAACAAAUUCUGCCCAACCAACUACUCGAGCUGAAGAUUUCAAUUUUAAAGGUCAAAAAGUGAAGAAACAAAGAAAUGCCUGGGACCCAAAAUCGCUUAAGCUGCGUAUCAAAGUUGGCCCUUGGCAUCUG